RNAcentral lists this ribosomal RNA (505 nucleotides) under uncultured bacterium. RNAcentral's name for it is "bacterial SSU rRNA". It matches the Rfam family "Bacterial small subunit ribosomal RNA", at positions 21 to 518 of the family's 1533-position model. The record is from RNAcentral.
GGUUCAGGAUGAACGCUAGCUACAGGCUAACACAUGCGAAGUCGGGGGCAGCAGAACGAUAGCUUGCUAUGUUGAUGGCGACCGGCGCACGGGUGAGUAACGCGUAUCCAACCUUCCCUGUACUAGAGGAUAGCCCGGCGAAAGUCGGAUUAAUACUCUAUGUUAUUCAAUGCGGACAUCUAAGUUGAAUCAAAGGUUUACCGGUAUAGGAUGGGGAUGCGUCUGAUUAGGUUGUUGGCGGGUAACGGCCCACCAAGCCUACGAUCAGUAGGGUUCUGAGAGGAAGGUCCCCCACAUUGGAACUGAGACACGGUCCAAACUCCUACGGGAGGCAGCAGUGAGGAAUAUUGGUCAAUGGACGAAAGUCUGAACCAGCCAAGUAGCGUGCCAGGAUGACGGCCCUAUGGGUUGUAAACUGCUUUUAUACAGGGAUAAAGUCAGUUACGUGUAACUGUUUGUAGGUACUGUAUGAAUAAGGACCGGCUAAUUCCGUGCCAGCCGCUGC